UACAGAGGUCCCAAGCGCUGUUCGGAUUCACUGGGCGUAAAGGGUGCGUAGGUGGUUGGGUAAGUCUGAUGUGAAAUCUCCGGGCUCAACCCGGAAAUGGCAUUGGAUACUAUCCAGCUGGAGGGUCGGAGGGGGGACUGGAAUUCUUGGUGUAGCAGUGAAAUGCGUAGAUAUCAAGAGGAACACCAGUGGCGAAGGCGAGUCCCUGGACGACUCCUGACACUGAGGCACGAAAGCUAGGGGAGCAAACAGG
This 253-nucleotide ribosomal RNA is filed under the name uncultured bacterium. RNAcentral's name for it is "partial 16S ribosomal RNA". It matches the Rfam family "Bacterial small subunit ribosomal RNA", at positions 524 to 776 of the family's 1533-position model. The record is from RNAcentral.